AGUCAGUCACAGAUAAGUGGGUUUGUUUUGCACGAUUAAAUGAUUUUCUUAUUUCCUUUUGUAGUGAUGUGUUGAGAUGUAGGCCUUUUCUUCGAACCAAGACUUAAAUAGAACACCAAAUUUCUCCUAUAAGAGUGCUCCAGAGAAAACAAGGAAGUUCUCCCUUUCAGACUUCUUCCUGGCAAAAUGGUUCCAGAA
This 198-nucleotide long non-coding RNA is filed under the name Ornithorhynchus anatinus (platypus). RNAcentral describes it as "lncRNA (ENSOANG00000041639.1)". Lineage: Eukaryota; Metazoa; Chordata; Mammalia; Monotremata; Ornithorhynchidae. The record is from RNAcentral.